UACGAAGGGUCCAAGCGUUAUCCGGAUUCAUUGGGUUUAAAGGGUGCGCAGGCGGGGCCUUAAGUCAGGGGGGAAAUCUCUUCGCUCAACGAAGAAACUGCCAUUGAUACUGAGGUUCUUGAAUGUAGUUGACGUUAGUGGAAUGUGUCAUGUAGCGGUGAAAUGCAUAGAUAUGACACAGAACACCGAUCGCGAAGGCAGCUAACGAAGCUAUUAUUGACGCUCAGGCACGACAGCAUGGGGAGCAAACAGG
This 253-nucleotide ribosomal RNA is filed under the name uncultured bacterium. RNAcentral describes it as "partial 16S ribosomal RNA". It matches the Rfam family "Bacterial small subunit ribosomal RNA", at positions 524 to 776 of the family's 1533-position model. The record is from RNAcentral.